RNAcentral lists this non-coding RNA (24 nucleotides) under Arabidopsis thaliana (thale cress). The record is from RNAcentral. Lineage: Eukaryota; Viridiplantae; Streptophyta; Magnoliopsida; Brassicales; Brassicaceae.
AUUGCGUUGCGUAGAUUUUGUAAC